GAAUACAAGCUCUUGAAAGGGGGCAUUAGGGUCUCACCCCUAGUAAGCCAACGACAGUCCCUGCGUUGCACUCCACACUUACGUUGUACACACGCGGGACCCGAUGGGCUAUCGUUCACCCACCUACAGCUGGACUCACGGCGCCGCGUGGCCAUUUAGCUGGAUUGUGCGGACGAACACGCUUGCGCACCUCGCGUGACCGGUUAGUACUCUUACCACUCUCCGCCUACUUGGUCGUUAGCGCUGUCUUGGGCAUUCCUGUGGGGGCCGUUCGACGCUCCACGGGAACUCUCCUGUGUGACAUCUACGGUGAUGGGGCCGUUUCGCGUGGGCUGGUCGUUUGGACUGCUUCGGCUGUCACCCGGCGCCCGCCUUUCAG
This 379-nucleotide unclassified non-coding RNA is filed under the name synthetic construct. The record is from RNAcentral.